UGAAACUGGUGGUCUUGAGGGCAGGAGAGGAGAGUAGAAUCCCUGGUGUAGCGGUGAAAUGCGUAGAAAUCAGGAGGAAUACCAGUGGCGAAGGCGGCUUUCUGGACUGACCCUGACGCUG
Molecule: ribosomal RNA, 121 nt
Filed under: uncultured bacterium
Lineage: Bacteria
Description: partial 16S ribosomal RNA
Rfam family: Bacterial small subunit ribosomal RNA
Source: RNAcentral